Trichoderma harzianum is the source of this 67-nucleotide transfer RNA. It matches the Rfam family "tRNA". Rfam says of the family: Transfer RNA (tRNA) molecules are approximately 80 nucleotides in length. Their secondary structure includes four short double-helical elements and three loops (D, anti-codon, and T loops). The record is from Rfam. Lineage: Eukaryota; Fungi; Ascomycota; Sordariomycetes; Hypocreales; Hypocreaceae.
UCCUCUGUGGCGCAAUUGGCUAGCGCGUCUGACUGUUAAUCAGGAGGUUGGAAGUUCGAGCCUUCCC